AAUUUUAUAGUGGUUAGUCCAAUGAUUUAGAGAGUAUUUGCAGUUUUGCUAAAUUAAUUGAUAAAAAAUUAGAACGAUGUCCAUGUACCAUGAAAAGGAGUUUAGCAUAAAUUAAUACAAAUGUGUAAUGUGGUUAUAAAUUUUAAAACGAAUUAAAAGAUUAUAGGCUUCAUAUAUAGAGCAUUUACCGAAAACUCACUAUUUUCGGAGGGGGGUACACAUAGAUUUUGAGAAAAAUUCAAAAAAUUUGAGAAUACUGUUUUAAUACAUAUUUGAAUCAUGUAAUAAAAUAUGAUGAAGUUCAAAGAGGUUUGGAACCUUUUUUGUCUCCGUUUCUUUAGGGAAUAGCAAUUUUAUAGUAGUUAGUCUAAUGAUUCAAGACAUUCACUAAGGUUAUUAUUGUAAAAUCAAUUUUAGUUAAUUAAUUCAAAAAUGAAUAAUUAAUAAUAUCUUUCCAUAUAUUUCAAGUUUAGUUCUAUAUAUAUAUUGUUGUAC
This 495-nucleotide long non-coding RNA is filed under the name Brassica napus (rape). RNAcentral describes it as "long non-coding RNA (BNAP_LNC000933)". The record is from RNAcentral. Lineage: Eukaryota; Viridiplantae; Streptophyta; Magnoliopsida; Brassicales; Brassicaceae.